RNAcentral lists this transfer RNA (73 nucleotides) under Selaginella bisulcata. RNAcentral's name for it is "tRNA-Arg". The record is from RNAcentral. Lineage: Eukaryota; Viridiplantae; Streptophyta; Lycopodiopsida; Selaginellales; Selaginellaceae.
UGGCCUGUAGCUCAGGGGAUCAGAGCACGUGGCAUAGUACGAACCACGGGGGGUUCGAAUCCGACGCAAGGGU